UGGGGAAUAUUGGACAAUGGGCGAAAGCCUGAUCCAGCAAUGCCGCGUGUGUGAAGAAGGCCUUCGGGUUGUAAAGCACUUUAAGCGAGGAGGAAGUGCCAUCGGCAAAUACCCGGUGGUGUUGACGUUACUCGCAGAAUAAGCACCGGCUAACUCUGUGCCAGCAGCCGCGGUAAUACAGAGGGUGCAAGCGUUAAUCGGAAUUACUGGGCGUAAAGCGCGCGUAGGCGGUUUGUUAAGUCUGUUGUGAAAUCCCUGGGCUCAACCUGGGAAUGGCGAUGGAUACUGGCAAGCUAGAGUAUGAGAGAGGUGGGUAGAAUUCCAGGUGUAGCGGUGAAAUGCGUAGAUAUCUGGAGGAAUACCGGUGGCGAAGGCGGCCCACUGGCUCAAUACUGACGCU
Molecule: ribosomal RNA, 400 nt
Filed under: uncultured bacterium
Lineage: Bacteria
Description: bacterial SSU rRNA
Rfam family: Bacterial small subunit ribosomal RNA
Source: RNAcentral